GCCCGCCUAGCUCAAUCGGAUAGAGCGUCAGACUUUUACGGUCAUGGCAAUGGGCAUUGGAAAUCUGAAGGCUGCGAGUUCGACCCUCGCGGUGGGCU
Psilocybe cubensis is the source of this 98-nucleotide non-coding RNA. The record is from the annotation of a RefSeq genome assembly. NCBI's taxonomy places the organism in Eukaryota, Fungi, Basidiomycota, Agaricomycetes, Agaricales, Agrocybaceae.